RNAcentral lists this ribosomal RNA (292 nucleotides) under uncultured Pseudomonas sp. RNAcentral describes it as "partial 16S ribosomal RNA". It matches the Rfam family "Bacterial small subunit ribosomal RNA", at positions 1093 to 1382 of the family's 1533-position model. Lineage: Bacteria; Pseudomonadati; Pseudomonadota; Gammaproteobacteria; Pseudomonadales; Pseudomonadaceae. The record is from RNAcentral.
CGAGCGCAACCCUUGUCCUUAGUUACCAGCACGUUAUGGUGGGCGACUCUAAGGAGACUGCCGGUGACAAACCGGAGGAAGGUGGGGAGUGACGUCAAGUCAUCAUGGCCCUUACGGCCUGGGCUACACACGUGCUACAAUGGUCGGUACAAAGGGUUGCCAAGCCGCGAGGUGGAGCUAAUCCCAUAAAACCGAUCGUAGUCCGGAUCGCAGUCUGCAACUCGACUGCGUGAAGUCGGAAUCGCUAGUAAUCGUGAAUCAGAAUGUCACGGUGAAUACGUUCCCGGGCCUU